GACGAUUCACCUUUUAUGAAGAAGUACAAGUAUCAAACUUGCGCGAGGUAACUUUCCGUUGCAUCGAUCGUCGUCGAAGAAACAUUAUUUCGCCAUCAUCGUUGAUACAACGUCAUUUUGAUGAGCAUGUAAUGGUUUGCCUGGCAUAACGAGCCAUCCUGAAGGAACCUCAGUCCUAACGUCGAACAUCGUGUCGUUACCCACAUAUGCCCAUACAUACACCUACCAGCGAAUGUGGCUCGCACAUGUAAUCACGCUCUGUGAACUGGAUAUGGUUAGACCUCUUAAUAACGUGCUACCUACGUAGAAGCGUACGUGUUAGAACGAUGUAUCUACCUCUUUCGCACUGGUACACGGUACAACACGGUGAAUGCUGGAUCUUGAUACGAUAUUGAUCGGCUGUGUGUAUCAUGGGAAUCUCUUCACGACACCUAGCAACGCGCUGGACUUUUAACAUGGUCGAUUAUUGCGCUACAUUGAGUGUUCCAGCACCUAUAUGAUAGGCACUCUACGCUGUUGAUUUAUCUGUUUUAAUGUCUCCGAAGAUGGAUUAGUUGAAUGUAAGAGCAUCUUCAUAAAUGGACAUAUGUGGACGUGUAGGUAUCUAUGCGUAUGAUAGA
Molecule: unclassified non-coding RNA, 620 nt
Filed under: Bombus terrestris (buff-tailed bumblebee)
Lineage: Eukaryota; Metazoa; Arthropoda; Insecta; Hymenoptera; Apidae
Description: misc RNA ENSBTSG00005024602.1
Source: RNAcentral